This 562-nucleotide long non-coding RNA is filed under the name Homo sapiens (human). RNAcentral describes it as "HSALNT0095908". Lineage: Eukaryota; Metazoa; Chordata; Mammalia; Primates; Hominidae. The record is from RNAcentral.
CCUAGUGAGAUGAACCCGUUCUCACCUUGAUGAUUUUAUAAAUACCUGUGCAAUCAUUUAAGGAUGCUGUUAUAACUUGCUAUCACAGGAUUCAGGUCCAAGAACCCUCUCUUAGGAUCUGCACUGGGACCUACCCCUUUUUGGCAACAUGUUCUUGGCAACCACGAAGGGACUAUCCUGAGGAGAUCCCUGACCCAAAGGAAAUAGACUGCAGAACCAAUUGGCUGACUUUGGCGGGUCAAAGAAUAUGUGAGAUUCCCCACACAUUUAUGCCACAGGAGGAGAAAAGCCUGCCUAGGGGUGUUUUAACUUAUGCCCAGAAGUACCACCUGGAAGAGGCAACGAGACUUUAUUCAUAAGAAUCUAAGUGGAGCAUUCUCCCAGACAACCAGCGGCGGAGCAAGGAGGGGCUGGCCAAACAGUGACGUUGACUGGUGCAUGAGACGAACAGAGGCUCACAGAAGAGCCUCUGAAGAGCCCACAAAAAAUGUCCAUAAGAGUGUGGCAUUGCACCCUGUAGGUCAAAAAUGUGGACAAUCUGGCUAAGAAGAGAGCAAGACAG